GAGGGUAUAGCUCAGUGGUAGAGCACAUGCUUAGCAUGCGUGAGGUCCUGGAUCCAAUCCCCAGUACCCCCA
Molecule: transfer RNA, 72 nt
Filed under: Camelus bactrianus (Bactrian camel)
Lineage: Eukaryota; Metazoa; Chordata; Mammalia; Artiodactyla; Camelidae
Also listed under: 2 other names
Rfam family: tRNA
About the family: Transfer RNA (tRNA) molecules are approximately 80 nucleotides in length.
Source: Rfam by way of RNAcentral